GACGAACGCUGGCGGCGUGCCUAACACAUGCAAGUCGAACGGAAAGGCACUGCUUUUGUGGGGUGCUCGAGUGGCGAACGGGGGAGUAACACGUGAGUAACCUGCCCUUGACUUUGGGAUAACUUCAGGAAACUGGGGUUAAUACCGGAUAGGAUCUCCUGCUGCAUGGUGGGGGUUGGAAAGUCUCGGCGGUUGGGGAUGGAUUAGCGGCUUAUCAGCUUGUUGGUGGGGUAGUGGCUGACCAAGGCUUUGACGGGUAGCCGGCCUGAGAGGGUGGACGGCGACAUGAGUCCUGCGGUACGCAGCAGACGCGUACAGGGGGCAACGGUCGGAAGUCUUGCACAGCGAGCGGGCGCCUGAGAAGGAGGCGUUGCGUUCGGAAUGACCGCCUGCUGGUUGUGAAAAGCUGUAGCCUAUGACGCAGCGUUUGUGACGGUAAUCAAUAAAGAAGCACCGGCUAACUACGUG
RNAcentral lists this ribosomal RNA (468 nucleotides) under uncultured bacterium. Its description in RNAcentral is "partial 16S ribosomal RNA". It matches the Rfam family "Bacterial small subunit ribosomal RNA", at positions 28 to 507 of the family's 1533-position model. The record is from RNAcentral.